RNAcentral lists this ribosomal RNA (497 nucleotides) under uncultured bacterium. RNAcentral's name for it is "partial 16S ribosomal RNA". It matches the Rfam family "Bacterial small subunit ribosomal RNA", at positions 28 to 507 of the family's 1533-position model. The record is from RNAcentral.
GAUGAACGCUGGCGGCGUGCCUAAUACAUGCAAGUCGAGCGAACAGACGAGGAGCUUGCUCCUCUGACGUUAGCGGCGGACGGGUGAGUAACACGUGGAUAACCUACCUAUAAGACUGGGAUAACUUCGGGAAACCGGAGCUAAUACCGGAUAAUAUAUUGAACCGCAUGGUUCAAUAGUGAAAGACGGUUUUGCUGUCACUUAUAGAUGGAUCCGCGCCGCAUUAGCUAGUUGGUAAGGUAACGGCUUACCAAGGCGACGAUGCGUAGCCGACCUGAGAGGGUGAUCGGCCACACUGGAACUGAGGCACGGUCCAGACUCCUACGGGAGGCAGCAGUAGGGAAUCUUCCGCAAUGGGCGAAAGCCUGACGGAGCAACGCCGCGUGAGUGAUGAAGGUCUUCGGAUCGUAAAACUCUGUUAUUAGUGAAGAACAAAUGUGUAAGUAACUAUGCACGUCUUGACGGUACCUAAUCAGAAAGCCACGGCUAACUACGUG